RNAcentral lists this unclassified non-coding RNA (146 nucleotides) under soil metagenome. RNAcentral's name for it is "partial internal transcribed spacer 1". The record is from RNAcentral.
UAAUAAGUGUUUUAUGGCACUUUUUAAAUCCAUAUCCACCUUGUGUGCAAUGUCAGUCGAUCUUCUCUCAUGGAGAUCGACCAAACAUCAACCUUUAUCUUUUAACUCUUUGUCUGAAAAAUAUUAUGAAUAAACAAUUCAAAAUA